GACGAACGCUGGCGGCGUGCUUAACACAUGCAAGUCGAACGGAAAGGCCCUGCUUUUGUGGGGUGCUCGAGUGGCGAACGGGUGAGUAACACGUGAGUAACCUGCCCUUGACUUUGGGAUAACUUCAGGAAACUGGGGCUAAUACCGGAUAGGAGCUCCUGCUGCAUGGUGGGGGUUGGAAAGUUUCGGCGGUUGGGGAUGGACUCGCGGCUUAUCAGCUUGUUGGUGGGGUAGUGGCUUACCAAGGCUUUGACGGGUAGCCGGCCUGAGAGGGUGACCGGCCACAUUGGGACUGAGAUACGGCCGAGACUCCUACGGGAGGCAGCAGUGGGGAAUAUUGCACAAUGGGCGGAAGCCUGAUGCAGCAACGCCGCGUGCGGGAUGAAGGCCUUCGGGGUGUAAACCGCUUUCGCCUGUGACGAAGCGUGAGUGACGGGAAUGGGUAAAGAAGCACCGGCUAACUACG
This 466-nucleotide ribosomal RNA is filed under the name uncultured bacterium. RNAcentral describes it as "partial 16S ribosomal RNA". It matches the Rfam family "Bacterial small subunit ribosomal RNA", at positions 28 to 505 of the family's 1533-position model. The record is from RNAcentral.